This 428-nucleotide ribosomal RNA is filed under the name uncultured Chlamydiae bacterium. Its description in RNAcentral is "bacterial SSU rRNA". It matches the Rfam family "Bacterial small subunit ribosomal RNA", at positions 958 to 1385 of the family's 1533-position model. The record is from RNAcentral. Lineage: Bacteria; Pseudomonadati; Chlamydiota; Chlamydiia.
AACGCGAAGAACCUUACCCAGGUUUGACAUGCAGAGGAAGUGUCCAGAGAUGGCCACGCCCUUCGGGGCUUCUGCACAGGUGCUGCAUGGCUGUCGUCAGCUCGUGCCGUGAGGUGUUGGGUUAAGUCCCGCAACGAGCGCAACCCUUAUCGUUAGUUGCCAACAGGUGAAGCUGGGAACUCUAGCGAGACUGCCUGGGUUAACCAGGAGGAAGGUGAGGAUGACGUCAAGUCCGCAUGGCCCUUAUAUCUGGGGCUACACACGUGCUACAAUGGCCGGUACAGAAGGAAGCGAAACCGUGAGGCGGAGCAAAUCCUAAAAAGCCGGCCCCAGUUCAGAUUGUAGUCUGCAACUCGACUACAUGAAGACGGAAUUGCUAGUAAUGGCGAGUCAGCAACAUCGCCGUGAAUACGUUCCCGGGCCUUGUA